This 87-nucleotide transfer RNA is filed under the name Selenomonas sp. oral taxon 892 str. F0426. RNAcentral describes it as "tRNA-Leu". It matches the Rfam family "tRNA". From Rfam's summary of the family: Transfer RNA (tRNA) molecules are approximately 80 nucleotides in length. Their secondary structure includes four short double-helical elements and three loops (D, anti-codon, and T loops). The record is from RNAcentral. Lineage: Bacteria; Bacillati; Bacillota; Negativicutes; Selenomonadales; Selenomonadaceae.
GCCGGGGUGGCGGAACAGGCAGACGCAGGGGACUUAAAAUCCCCCGAUCGCAAGAUCGUACCGGUUCGAUUCCGGUCCUCGGCACCA